ACAGGAGGACUGAGGUGUUUGAAUGGAGAGUAGGGGAGGAGUUCUUCCUUCUUUUUCUGAGUUUUCUCUGCCUGCAGAGAACACACAAUCGUCUCUGCUCUUCUGUGUAUCUGUCUAGCACCGCAGAUGAUGAGCCUGUCCUUCUGCCUGAAGAGAAGAUAAGGCCUGACUGUCUCUUCUGCGUUCUGCAUCUCUGAGUAUCUACUUCAAAACUAUAUGCAGGACUCAUUGGAUGCAUGAGAGAAUCUCGUUGCCCAAUAUUCUGAGAAAAUUUAGCAGAUAGUCAACUGUGGCCUAGCUCUGGCCUUUAUGGUGAUAACGUCAUAGAUGGUCAGCUGUCCUUCAUCAGCUAUCUGUAACCUCAUUAUUUAGCAGAUGGAUUAGUAGAGUCCUGUGGAAAGCAGAUAAUGAGACUGAGAUCUAUCUGAAAUGUGCCCUGCCUCUUUCUUUCACAAGCCUGUUGUAUAUGCAAGUCCCUCUGCCCGGGGUGCUGCCCUCCAUCUUUUCCACAUCAGAAAUACAGCAUGAUGCAGUUUGGUGUUUGCUGAUUUUC
Molecule: long non-coding RNA, 553 nt
Organism: Lutra lutra (Eurasian river otter)
Lineage: Eukaryota; Metazoa; Chordata; Mammalia; Carnivora; Mustelidae
Exons: 3
Source: RefSeq, a predicted model, not a curated record